This is a long non-coding RNA of Cyprinodon tularosa, 296 nucleotides long. RefSeq lists it as uncharacterized. The record is from RefSeq and is a predicted model, not a curated record. The transcript has 3 exons. Lineage: Eukaryota; Metazoa; Chordata; Actinopteri; Cyprinodontiformes; Cyprinodontidae.
CCCGGACUUCUCGCAUUUUCUGCAAACUUCGAACCAGACGAACUCAGCACAGAGGGGAGCUUCAGUGACUACGUGAAAAUAUCAAGUGUUUGAUUUAAAAGGAAGCACACUUGGAAGGACCAUAACCACCACUUCUGUUCAGCCUCUUGAAGACAGCCAGAGAAGGCUUUCCACCUGACCUACUACACGACCUAUUUGAGGGUGUCGUUCCUGUGGAGUUGGCGCAUUGCAUAAAAGGUUUGAUUUCUAAGAAAUAUUUUACCUUAGAAGACUUAAACAGAGCAAUAUUGCGCUUU